AGUGAACGCUGGCGGUAGGCCUAACACAUGCAAGUCGAACGGCAGCACAGUAAGAGCUUGCUCUUACGGGUGGCGAGUGGCGGACGGGUGAGGAAUACAUCGGAAUCUACUUUUUCGUGGGGGAUAACGUAGGGAAACUUACGCUAAUACCGCAUACGACCUACGGGUGAAGGCAGGGGAUCUUCGGAUCUUGCGCGAUUGAAUGAGCCGAUGUCGGAUUAGCUAGUUGGCGGGGUAAAGGCCCACCAAGGCGACGAUCCGUAGCUGGUCUGAGAGGAUGAUCAGCCAAACUGGAACUGAGACACGGUCCAGGCUCCUAAGGGAGGCGGCAGUGGGGAAUAUUGGACAAUGGGCGCAAGCCUGAUCCAGCCAUACCGCGUGGGUGAAGAAGGCCUUCGGGUUGUAAAGCCCUUUUGUUGGGAAAGAAAAGCAGCAGGUUAAUACCUCGCUGUUCUGACGGUACCCAAAGAAUAAGCACCGGCUAACUUCGUG
This 492-nucleotide ribosomal RNA is filed under the name uncultured bacterium. RNAcentral describes it as "partial 16S ribosomal RNA". It matches the Rfam family "Bacterial small subunit ribosomal RNA", at positions 29 to 507 of the family's 1533-position model. The record is from RNAcentral.